AGUGAACGCUGGCGGUAGGCCUAACACAUGCAAGUCGAACGGCAGCACAGUAAGAGCUUGCUCUUACGGGUGGCGAGUGGCGGACGGGUGAGGAAUACAUCGGAAUCUACUUUUUCGUGGGGGAUAACGUAGGGAAACUUACGCUAAUACCGCAUACGACCUACGGGUGAAAGCAGGGGAUCUUCGGACCUUGCGCGAUUGAAUGAGCCGAUGUCGGAUUAGCUAGUUGGCGGGGUAAAGGCCCACCAAGGCGACGAUCCGUAGCUGGUCUGAGAGGAUGAUCAGCCACACUGGAACUGAGACACGGUCCAGACUCCAACGAGAGGCAGCAGUGGGGAAUAUUGGACAAUGGGCGCAAGCCUGAUCCAGCCAUACCGCGUGGGUGAAGAAGGCCUUCGGGUUGUAAAGACCUUUUGUUGGGAAAGAAAAGCAGCAGGUUAAUACCCCGCUGUUCUGACGGUACCCAAAGAAUAAGCACCGGCUAACUUCGUG
Molecule: ribosomal RNA, 492 nt
Filed under: uncultured bacterium
Lineage: Bacteria
Description: partial 16S ribosomal RNA
Rfam family: Bacterial small subunit ribosomal RNA
Source: RNAcentral